UGGGGAAUAUUGCACAAUGGGCGCAAGCCUGAUGCAGCCAUGCCGCGUGUAUGAAGAAGGCCUUCGGGUUGUAAAGUACUUUCAGCGGGGAGGAAGGUGUUGUGGUUAAUAACCGCAGCAAUUGACGUUACCCGCAGAAGAAGCACCGGCUAACUCCGUGCCAGCAGCCGCGGUAAUACGGAGGGUGCAAGCGUUAAUCGGAAUUACUGGGCGUAAAGCGCACGCAGGCGGGCUGUCAAGUCGGAUGUGAAAUCCCCGGGCUCAACCUGGGAACUGCAUUCGAAACUGGCAGGCUAGAGUCUUGUAGAGGGGGGUAGAAUUCCAGGUGUAGCGGUGAAAUGCGUAGAGAUCUGGAGGAAUACCGGUGGCGAAGGCGGCCCCCUGGACAAAGACUGACGCUCAGGUGCGAAAGCGUGGGGAGCAAACA
Molecule: ribosomal RNA, 427 nt
Filed under: uncultured bacterium
Lineage: Bacteria
Description: partial 16S ribosomal RNA
Rfam family: Bacterial small subunit ribosomal RNA
Source: RNAcentral